GGAUGCGAUCAUACCAGCACUAAUGCACCGGAUCCCAUCAGAACUCCGAAGUAAGCGUGCUUGGGCGAGAGUAGUACUAGGAUGGUGACCCCCUGGAAGUCCUCGUGUUGCAUCCC
RNAcentral lists this ribosomal RNA (116 nucleotides) under Ipomoea nil (Japanese morning glory). Lineage: Eukaryota; Viridiplantae; Streptophyta; Magnoliopsida; Solanales; Convolvulaceae. The record is from RNAcentral.